RNAcentral lists this ribosomal RNA (468 nucleotides) under uncultured bacterium. RNAcentral's name for it is "partial 16S ribosomal RNA". It matches the Rfam family "Bacterial small subunit ribosomal RNA", at positions 28 to 507 of the family's 1533-position model. The record is from RNAcentral.
GACGAACGCUGGCGGCGUGCUUAACACAUGCAAGUCGAACGGAAAGGCCCUGCUUUUGUGGGGUGCUCGAUUGGCGAACGGGUGAGUAACACGCGAGUAACCUGCCCUUGACUUUGGGAUAACUUCAGGAAACUGGGGCUAAUACCGGAUAGGAGCUCCUGCUGCAUGUUGGGGGUUGGAAAGUGUCGGCGGUUGGGGAUGGACUCGCGGCUUAUCAGCUUGUUGGUGGGGUAGUGGCUUACCAAGGCUUUGACGGGUAGCCGGCCUGAGAGGGUGACCGGCCACAUUGGUACUGAGAUACGGACCAGACUCCUACGGGAGGCAGCAGUGGGGAAUAUUGCACAAUGGGCGGAAGCCUGAUGCAGCGGCGCCGCGUGCGGGAUGACGGCCUACUGGUUGUGAACCGCUUUCGCCUGUGCCGAAGCGUGAGUGACGGUAAUGGGUAAAGAAGCACCGGCUAACUACGUG